UGGGGGAUAUUGCACAAUGGAGGAAACUCUGAUGCAGCGACGCCGCGUGAGUGAAGAAGUAUUUCGGUAUGUAAAGCUCUAUCAGCAGGGAAGAUAAUGACAGUACCUGACUAAGAAGCCCCGGCUAACUACGUGCCAGCAGCCGCGGUAAUACGUAGGGGGCGAGCGUUAUCCGGAUUCAUUGGGCGUAAAGCGCGCGUAGGCGGCUCGCCAAGCGGGAUCUCAAACCUGAGGGCUCAACCCCCAGCAGGAUUCCGGACUGGCGGGCUCGAGUUCGGUAGGGGAAGGCGGAACUCCCAGUGUA
RNAcentral lists this ribosomal RNA (304 nucleotides) under uncultured Oribacterium sp. Its description in RNAcentral is "bacterial SSU rRNA". It matches the Rfam family "Bacterial small subunit ribosomal RNA", at positions 355 to 677 of the family's 1533-position model. Lineage: Bacteria; Bacillati; Bacillota; Clostridia; Lachnospirales; Lachnospiraceae. The record is from RNAcentral.